RNAcentral lists this long non-coding RNA (10873 nucleotides) under Mytilus galloprovincialis (Mediterranean mussel). The record is from RNAcentral. Lineage: Eukaryota; Metazoa; Mollusca; Bivalvia; Mytilida; Mytilidae.
UUUAUGUGGUAAAGAAUAUCUUUCGAAAGAGGUAGGUUUUUUUAGUGUUUCAGUAUAGGAUAUUAUACAUUGCACUUAAAUUGUGUUAAUCUUUAACAGUUAAACAACUACACAAAAGCGAUCAUCGCAAUAAUAAGCAAAACUCGAAGAUUCUUAAAUAUAUUUUAAAACAUAUGAAACGACUUUUUUUUAUAACGAAAUAGCCAUUUGUUAACUACUGCAGUUUAUGAUUAUGUUUAACAAAAACUAAACAUAUGUCCAGUCUGUUACAAGGUCUAUCUAUACGAUAAAAAAAGAUAAGGACAACAAUUGCGUCACUUUAGUCAGAUACUAGAUAGCAAAAAUGAACAGCGUAUAUUCAUUAUAAGGCCAUUUCAAUUGAUAUUUUAUAGUGUGUCUUUCUAUGAUGUGAAGUUAUACAAUUGUUUCAGGUAAGGUUGAAGAUUGGUAUCUUUUAAAAGGUUUAAACUCGCUGCAUUUGUUUUCACCUGUCUUAUUAAGUCAGGAACCUGAUGUUCAGUUGUUGUCGUUUGUUGAUGUGGUUCAUAAAUGUUUUUCGUUUUUUAUAUAUAUUAGACCGUUGGUUUUUCCGUUUGAAUGGUUUUACGCUAGUCGGUUUUUUUGGGGCCCUUAAUAUAGCUUGCUGUUUGGUGUGAGCCAAAUUGAAUGCUCCGUGUUGAAGACCGUACUUCAAGUUGACCUAUAACGGUUUACUUUUACAAAUUAUGACUUGCAUUGAGAGUUGUCUCAUUGACACUCACGCCACAUCUUCUUAUAUCAGUGAAUUUAAAAUAUGUUCUAAAAUGCAGCAGCUUGUUCCAUUCUUUAGUGUUUCGUCUAACUGUAGAGUUUGAUUUCAGUUUUGAUGUUGUACCGUCUUUGUCUGUAAACACUUUAGAAAAUCUUACUCUGUCACUUUCACCAUGAACUGUCAAAAAUAUUCUUGUCAUUUUAUUUAUUUUCUUUUGUUACAUCUUUUGACAUCAGACUCGGACUUCUCUUGAACUGAAUUUUAAUGUGCGUAUUGUUAUUGUUUUACUUUUCUACAUUGGCUAGAGGUAUAGGGGGAGGGUUGAGAUCUCAUAAACAUGUUUAACCCCGCCGCAAUUUUGCGCCUGUCCCAAGUCAGGAGCCUCUGGCCUUUGUUAGUCUUGUAUGAUUUUAAAUUUUAGUUUCUUGUGUAUAAUUCGGAGUUUAGUAUGACGUCCAUUAUCACUGUACUAUUAUGCAUAUUUUAGGGGCCAGCUGAAGGACACCUACGGGUGCGGGAAUUCUUGCUACAUUGAAGACCCAUUGGUUGCCUUCGGCUGUUGUUUGCUCUAUGGUCGGGUGGUUGUCGCUUUGACAUAUUCACCAUUUCCUUUCUCAAUUUUAUUAAUUGUAAGCAUGUAUUUUGUAUUAUACUCAUAUAAUAAGUAAAGGUGAUAGUCUCUCCGUUCUAAACAAAUCAUAUGAAAUUUUAAACAAAUAAUAUGAAAUUCUAAACAAUAAUAUGAAAUUCUGAACAAAUCAUAGAAUCAUAUUCAAAACAGUGUGGCUGUGGCCAUUGAUUGACGACCUAAAUUGUCCCAUUGACUGGGACAUAUUAGGUGAACGUUUGUCUGUAACGACCACUGCUCACUGCUUACUUAUUAUAGAAUUUUAACUGUGGGGUCUCCAAAGGUUCUUAACGCCUUUAAUAUUAAAAUAAUUCGAAAAAAUAAUCAGGAAUAACUUUAUGUUUUGAUUUAUAUUAUUGAUAUAAAUCAAAACAUCGUGUUAUUACUGAUUAUUUUUUCUAAUUACUUUAUUUAGGUGUUGAGAACCUUUUGUGACCCCAUCAGUUUAAGUGUCGAACGUUCACCUAAUAUGUCCCAGUCAAUGGGAUAAUUUAGGUCGUCAAUCAAUGACCACAGCCACACUGUUUUGAAUAUGAUUCUAUAUGAAACUAAUAGGAGUGGAUACACCAAUUAUCGGGUGCCUCUUUUGACACGCAACAGUUAAAACAAUAGUCAAAAUUUUGUCUGUAUAUGUAAAAAGUUACUUCUGCUUAUUUGUCUGUACAAGUAUAUACAAAAGAUAUAAGUGUGUGUAUUUCCGUUUUUAGCAAGUUACUACUUCACUAUCUAGAAGCAACAUUCGACUAUCAUAGUAGACUAUGAAUGCAUUUUUUUUUUUUGGUUUGCCAGAAGUAUGUGGUUCUGUUAUAGCACACUAGCUUCCUCCGCUUAUAAAAUGCCUAUCAUAAUAUUGCCUAGCGAGCGUUUAAUUCAUAAAUAAGUUAAUCUCUUGUGUACAAUAUAUCUGUUGUAUAACCUCUUUAAAGUCGUACUUACAUGUAUAUAUUAUAUCUGUCUACAUGCAUUCUUUAUGAAUGUUAUUACUUUUCAGCUUAAAUAUGAAAGUCGCCAUAAUCAUCGUCUGUCUGGUUAUUUUGAACAUGUGUGAAGACACAACAUGCGCUACUGACCAAUGUACCUUAGACUGCAUACUUGGUACCAGUACCUGUAUUGGUGGUUGUGCUGGACAAGACAUAUGUCAGAUGCUGUCUUGUCAUUCAAACUGCAAAACUCAAUGCAUACUAUGUACCACAAAGUGUCCUAACCGUGCAGGAACAUCUUGUCAGUUUCAACUUAUAAAUCAAAGAUUUUUGUUUUACAAAUGUUACAAAAAGUAUUUCUAGUUCAUUAAAUUAUGUGCAUGCCAGUUUGAUAAACAAUUAAUACAAUGGAGAUUAAAAUGGGAUAUGUGUCAUAGAGACAACGACCCGACCAAAGAGCAAAAAACAACCGAAAGCCAGCAAUGAACACAGCGAGAAAACUCCGCACCCGAGACGUGUUUCGGUUGUCCCCAAAACAAAUGUGUACUUGUUCAGUGAUAAUGGAGGCCAUACUAAACUCCUAAACAUAUGAAUUACAAUUAAAAAAAAAUCAUGCAAGAUUAACAAAGGUCAGAGGCUCCCCACUUAAUUGUGAAUAUCUAUAGGAUAUCUUAUGAAUUAUAUGAUACCUUGUGGAGUUUUCUAGUAUAAGUUAUCGUAUAUAAUCUAAGCUUUUAUAAGAUAUCUUAUAAACUCCACAAGGUAUCAUAUAAUUCAUAAGAUAUCCCAUACAUAUGUUUAUAUAUAAGAUAUUUUAUAUAGACUAAAUUAAUAUCUACAAAGACAUAUAAUAGUUUUUGGAUUAUAGCUCUUCAUCUUUUAUAUAAGCUUUGGAUUUCAAAUAUUUUGGCCACGAGCAUCACUGAAGAGACAUGUAUUGUCGAAAUGCGCAUCUGGUGCAAGAAAAUUGGUACCGUUAAUUUUAUUACUACCACUGGGUCGAUGCCUCUGCUGGUGGACUAUUAGUCCCCGAGGGUAUCACCACCCCAGUAGCCAGUACUUCGGUACUGGCAUGAAAAUACGGAUUUUUUUGUGUUAUGAAAAUUUACUGUUACAAAAUGAUAGAAAUUAUUAUAAAUUAAGGAAUGUAUCUCCCUCAUGCAAAGCUCUGAUUCCUUUCACGGAUUUGGCUAUACUUUUUGGACCUUUUGGAUUAUAGCUCUUCAUCUUUUAUAUAAGCUUUGGAUUUCAAAUAUUUUGGCCACGAGCAUCACUGAAGAGACAUGUAUUGUCGAAAUGCGCAUCUGGUGCAAGAAAAUUGGUACCGUUAAUUUUAUUACUACCACUGGGUCGAUGCCUCUGCUGGUGGACUAUUAGUCCCCGAGGGUAUCACCAUCCCAGUAGCCAGUACUUCAGUACUGGCAUGAAAAUACGGAUUUUUUGUGUUAUGAAAAUUUACUGUUACAAAAUGAUAGAAAUUAUAAAUUAAGGAAUGUAUCUCCCUCAUGCAAAGCUCUGAUUCCUUUCACGGAUUUGGCUAUACUUUUUGGACCUUUGGAUUAUAGCUCUUCAUCUUUUAUAUAAGCUUUGGAUUUCAAAUAUUUUGGCCACGAGCAUCACUGAAGAGACAUGUAUUGUCGAAAUGCGCAUCUGGUGCAAGAAAAUUGGUACCGUUAAUUUUAUUAUAAGAUAUCUCAUUUUGUUUAGAAGAAAUCGGAUUUAAUUCUAAGAUAUCUUAUUAAGAAAAUUGUAAUAUGAUAUCAUAUACAAAUAUAGCCUUUGUAUGAGGUCGAUACAAGGAUAUAUUGACCUGAAAGAAGUAUAUUGACUGAGGACGAAGUCCGAGGUCGAUAUACUUCUUUGGGUCGAUAUAUUCUGUAUUGACCUCAUACAAAGGCUAUAUUUGUUAUAUUAUUAAUUCCCGACCAUAUUUGUAUCAAAAUCGUCAUUUAGGUUUGUUGGAAUUUUAUAGAUAUUACAUUGUUUCCUUGACAAUAACAACAUAUUAGUUGUUAUUUCAUUUACUUUUUUUUUUUUACAUCUUAUGUAUUUGAAGAUUUUUUUCGUCAAAUAAUCGAUCACAGAUAGCAUGUGUUUCAAAACGUUAAACAAUAUCCUGAAAUUCAUUACAUGACGUCACAAAAUAUAUCGGUUUUUAGAUAUUCUAAAAAUAACCGUGCGAUAUGCUUUUUGCCGGUCAAUAUGCAAUUUGCUAUCCGCCGUUUUCUCUCUACCUUCGAAAAUAUAGUUUAACAUGUGACUAUCCCUAAACGAAUCAAAUUUGUUAAAAUAUACGAAUUAAUAAUAGAUGUCUUGUAAAGUUUAUAAGAUAGCUUAAAGAAAUAACAAAUAGUAAAAGGCUUGCGUUAUACUUCUCCCGACAUCCGACAUGCAAAUUGCAAAACUGCUUUGAUGUGGAGUUGAUGUAAACUGAACUGUCCAUAAGUAGCACAUUGCAAACAUUGCAAAACAAAUAUGUUCUAUAAAUGGCUUAAAGACGAAACAAAAAAUCAAAGAAUAUCUACAUAUAGACUUAUUAAUUCAAUAAUACCUGUUUCCAUUUUCAAAUUAGUUUAAAAAAAAAAUACGUCGAUACCAGAUUAUCGAGGGGUAUCAUGACGAAAAAGAAAGAGAUAGUAUUGUAGUGUACUUGUGUAUGUUCUCUUGUCAAGGUCAAGACCUACAGCCCGUAACAGAGAAGUGAUCGAAUUCGCGUUUCUUUACCGUCAGAAUAAGUGACGUUAUCGACAAACUUAUUUCAGAAGUGACAUAUUAAUUUAAUUUUCUUCAUCGACAAAAUAUUUAAUGUGCAACGUGUAAGUUUUCAUUGUUUAAGUCGAAGUUUUUUUAACACAGUAAAACAUUUUUUAUAAUCAACCUCUGUCAUUGGCAUUUUCAUUUUAACACUGUAAUAGUUUUUCUUUCGUCUGAUACAGAAUACCCGAUAUCUUUUCUUUUUCAUAGCUAUCUGUUUAUUAUGUCCCCGGGAUUAUGUCGAUCAUACAUUGUUGCAAUACCGACAUGCUUGUACUUUGUCACAGAAAAAAACUGAAAUAAAUUUCCUUCAAAUCGAAGUAAAAUAUACAAAUGUACCCUUUAACGUUUGAAAUGUUGAAGACAAAAUUGCUCUAUAUCUUAAGUUAUUGACGAAUAUUUGAAAUUUAAACCUCUAUACGAUGUGAAGUACGGCAUUUCAUUUUAUCAUUGGUAAUGAUCCAUAUCUGACAGAGAAGAAAUAUUCAUAAUUCUCAGAAAGUUUUCAUAAAUAUUGUUAGAUACCACUAAUCGUUCCAACAAUCAAGACAACAGAGACAAAUAUGGAAAAAAAUAUGAAAAUCAAAAGAUAUGACUUAAGUGUUAGCAUGUUCACGGAGACCGCACUCAAUUUACAAAAAAAUAAUUGAUGUUUUAAGGAACUGUAGAGGUCUCCAUAGGUUUUCAACAAGGGUAGAAUUCAAAACCUUGAAUAUGAAAGCCUCGAAAUCCAUGAUACUUUUUCUGUGCGGUAGUUAUAUCUACAAAAUCCAAUCAUGUACACGACAUAUAAUACAUGUAUAUUCAUACAUGUAUAUUUAUAUAAUUGGGAAUUUAUUUUUGUUUCCAAACAGAAUUAUAAGGUUAUGUAUAAGUGCCUCCGUUCACUGCACAAUUGUAAAUUGUCUUCCUAAAGACCAGCAAAAAUAAAUGGCACAAGUUCACGUAGUCAUAAAAAAAGUCGUAUAAUUAUAUAAUAGUUCUUGUAAAACUGGUCAUUAUCGUGAUAUAUGGACUGCCCACAGGACGGUGGUAUUGACUAAGAUAGUGAUAAUGACUGAGCCGAAGGCGAGGUUAUUAUCGCUGUCGCAGUCAAUACCACUGUCCUACGGGCAGUCCAUGUAUCACAAUAAUGACCAGUUUUUCAAGAACUAUUAUGUUUAUUUCAUUGAGAAACCAUGUUUUGGCAAAUUCGCAUAACUUCAAAACGCCUAAAGCAAACUCGAUUAGUUGUAUUUUUUUAUGGCAAAGAGUGAAGACCAGUCGUAGUAAUACUGCCAUGAAUUUAAGUUCAAUUUUUCAGUAUAUAUAAAUACUUAAUCGAGUUCUCUAUAAUUUUAUAAUUAACGAAAACAUCUAAUAAACAAUUCAACAACUUAAAUAUAGUAUUGAAAACAGGAAAAUGUUUUAUUAAAGGGACAUCUCUCUCCAUAACAGAGAAACCACGCCCCUACGGUCAUUAACAGAGACACCACGCCCCAGCGGUCAUUAUCAGACAUAAACCGCGCCCCAGCGGUCAUUAUCAGACGGAAACCACGCCCCACCGGUCAUUAUCAUGUAAAAGUUGGUUAACGACCGGUUUUCUGGUCCGUUUUGUUCUGUUAAUGACCGAUUGAAUUUAUUACUGAAGAAUAAUGAAUGGCAUGUGGCCCCUUUUUAUCCAAUAAUAAAAGCUUAUUCUUAACCGAUAUGAAAUAAUUUACGUUAUCGAACAAAAAAUCAGAAAUACGGAAUAUUAUAUGUGAAUCGUUAGGAAAUCCGUUUCCCCUACAUGUUUUAAAAGUCAAAGAAAAAUGUUUUCCCUGAUACAAACGUUUUAAGAACCAGCUUUGUGUAACCUAUAGACAGAUUCGACUGGAUAUAAGGAAGUUAAUAUGUUUACUCUGAUUUGAAAUUAUCUUUUAGAACUUGUUUAUGGGUAAUAGGUGAAAUGUUGCAUGAUCCCUCAAAAUGACAGCAAGCGCAGUUUUCCGGACGAUUGUACACUGCUAAAAACUGUCAGGUCCUGGCCAUGGUAUAUUUAAGAGAAAAAUUUUUUUACUGAUUUUUACUAGAAAAAAAUAUUCUCUGUGUGUGCCAUUGCAAGAAACAGUUUUGCUCGUUAUUUUGUCAUAUUAAAAAAAAUUCUCAACUAAAUUUUCCCGUUUAAACUAUACUAGAAAAAAGUUUGGCAUGUGAGACAUAUUCUAACAGAAGUACAAAUACAAGUCCUCUCCUUUGUUUAUACAUAUGUGAAAACACUUCAAAGUUAUUGAUUGAAUUCAAAUCCAUAACACAUACGGUACACAUUGUAGUCCGAGAAAAAAAGGACUUCAUUCAGGUAUCAAACACCUUUUUAAUUGUUUACCAGUAAAUUUCUUUUAGUUUUGGGUAAAAUUGUAAAUGAAAUAAUACUAUCAAGACGUCCUUCCAUAAAUCUUUUUUUUCUGUUCUGACUUUGAAGAAAUGACUACUUUUCGCCCAAUCGAAAUGGUGCAUGGACAUAUUUUGUUUCAUAUUAUUAGAAUUAUUUUCAAUAUUAUCAAUAUUAAACUUGAUUAUCGACACAUGAAAGUUUGUCAGCAUUGUCAAUCUUUUUAACGUUAAAGUACCAAUAAAUCGGUCACUACUCAAUUAACUUUGUCGGUAACGUAGCUAAUAUUGACGGUAAAGAAACAUCAAUUCGAUCACUUCUCUGUUACGGGCUGUAUUUUAGAGGUCAUACACCGAAAGAAUGUAUAAAAGAUGGCGUUGUAGUGUACAUAGAUAUAGGAAGAUGUGGUAUCAGUGCCAGUGAGACAACUCUUCAUUCUCAUGUCGAGUUCAAGACCUAUUUUGGAGGCAACACCUCGAAAGGACCAUUUUACGAUUAUUUUAAUUCAGUGUUUUAACUGUUUAAGAGAUAGCAUUUUAGUAUAUAUUAUCUCUUGUGAAGUUCAAGACCUAUUUUGGAUGCCUCACACCGAAAUAACCUUUACACGGUUACUUUUCGUCAGACUGAGUGUUUUUUAAGUGUUUAACAGACUGCGACGUUCCCUUGUGAAGUUCAAGAUCUAUUUUGAAGGCCCAAACCGAAAAGACGUAUUCACGAUUUAUUGAACUUUUAAUAUUGUAAUAACAAGAAUAAAAUUAGUCAGUGUGUUAGUUCAAGGCCACACACCGAAAAGACUACGAUUAUUGUUCGUCAGUAUUUUUUGUCUAAGAUACAGCGUUGAAGUGAACUAUAAAACAGAAGAUUUGGUAUAAUUUCCAAUGAGACAAUUCUCCACAAGAGACCAUAUCAAACAGAAAAUUAACAACUUUAUGUCACCGUAUACAGCCUUCAACAAUGAGAAAAGCCCAUACCGCAUAUUCAGCUAUAAAUGGCCCUGAUACGACAAACGUAAGACAAUUCUAAUGAGAAAAUUAACGGCCUAAUUCAUGUACAAAAAAUGAACGAAAAACAAAUAUGCAACAUAUCACCAAACGACAACCUCCUGACUUGGGACAAGCACAUACAUACAGAAUGUGGCGGGGUUAAACAUGUCUUGUCAUGUUUUGACCCUUAGACAAUAUAUAAGCUUCUGGUAAUCAAAACUAUCAGGAAUAAUUGUUAUCUGUGACUUUAUAAAGAUCCAGUCGUAAUUUAUGUAGGACUUAGGUGACGUUUUCUGUGUAGGUGUGGUAUUGACCUUUUGCCCUUCAGUUGUUAUUGUAAAGUCUUUAAUUGCCAGAGGCAAAGGUUUGAUAUUACAUAACUUUAAAUCCGUUUUUUGCGUACACAUUAUCUACAUUUUCUAUUCUGUAGUGAAUAUUACUUGUGUUCUCAAGAGGUAAGCUAUAGAAAAUGUUAUGGGUAUAAUUGGAGGCAUUUUAAGGUAAACAGGGGCUUUAAGGAGCCGUUGUCGCUCACCUGAAAUUUUGAAAUUGAUGCAUGAAAUAAUGCAAUAAAAAAGGAAUCUGUAUGGAUCAAGUUUGGUUUUUUUAAAUGCUUUCAUCUCAAUUAUCAUUUUAAGUUUUCAAGGUUAAAACACACAUUUCAAGUAUGUCGUGCUGCUGAAAAGAGACAGUAAGUAGAUCCCAACAUUCUGAACAUUUUUGCCCAAUAUAGAUUUUUCUACUCAUAGCAGUUUUCAAGAAAAUAGACACACCUUGCAUUUUACCCCUUUGUUUUACUUUUAGCUACGGCGGCCAUGUUGGUUGGCAGGCUGGAUCAUCAAACACAUUUUCUAAACUAAGUACCUAUAAUAAAAAUUGACAAAAACUCCGUAUAAAGGAGUCAAUUGAAAAUUUGGUCAUAUUAACUUAUUUAAAGAUCUCGCUUUAAAAAACAUUAUUGCUGUUUACAGUUUAUCUUUUUUUUAUCUAUAAUAAUCAUGAAGAUAACCAAAAACUGCAGAAUUUCCUUAAAAUUACAUUUCAAGAGACAGCAACCCAACAACUGGUAGUCUGAUUCGUCUGAAAAUUUGAGAACAUAUAGAUCUAAACUUGAUGAAGAAAUUUUACCCUUGUCAUAUUUGCCGUCUAAAUGCUUGUAAGCUAAAUAUAAGCCAACACUGCAUUUUAUCCUAUUUUAUGUUCUAGUUUUAGCCAUGUUGGUUGGCAGACAGGAUCAUCGGAAACAUUUUUAAAAAGUUCCCAAUUAAUGACUGUGGCCAAGUUUGGUUGAACUCGUAGAUGUAGUUUCAGAGGAGACGAUUUUGGUAAAAAAUUACAUAAAUUUACGAAAAAUUGUAAUACAAUUGAUUAUAAAUGGCAAUAACUCCUUACGGGAUCAAUUAACAAUUUUGGUCAUGAUGACUUAUUUGUAGAUCUUACUUUGCUGAACAUUAUUUUUGCUUACAGUUUAUCUCUAUCUAUAAUAAUAUUCAAGAUAACAAUCAAAAACAGCAAAAUCUAAUCUAAAUUUACUUAUUCAAGGGCAGCAACCCAACUACAUGUUGGCUGAUUCGUCGGAAAAUUCCACGGCAGAUCAUAUCUAAAUCUUUAUAUGUUGUUUUUUUUUUUGUUUUUUUUUUUAGUCAUGGCAGCCAUAUUGGUUGGCAGGCUGGGUUGCUAGAUACCCCAAUAUUGAUUAUGGCCAAGUUUGGUUAAAUUUGUCUUUAGUUUUAGACGGACGCCAAGUGAUGAGAAAAGCUCACUUGACCUUUCAGGCCAGGCGUACGAAAAGUUGACAUUGAGUUGCGGAGUGUACUAUAAAAUUGAAUCAUUUGUAAUUACUUUGGCUAACAAAGAAAACUUUAGAAUACAAGACCAUUUAUAACCUAAAAGUAAACAAGAGAUGUGUUAUAUUAACUUUACAAUUUAUGACAAAAGAUUUGAUUUUCUAGGUUACUGCUGAUCAAAUUUUUGCUUUCGGACAGAAGUUUGAAAAUUGCUACUCGAAUAAAGGCAUCAAUUUUCCUUUUAAGUUAUACAUGAAUAACUUACUGAAAGCAAGCAAUUUAAGAAAAGUAAAUUUGUUCUAAAUUUGGACAAAUUAUAGAAUUUUCCAGAGAAAAAAGUAUAUGUACAUAAGUUUUAUUAAAAUAAAACAUAUGCAUAUUUUGUUUUAAAUUUGAAGUUUCAUAUGACUCUAAGAAUUAUUUUAUUUGGUAUUUUCAGCUUGUUAUGAAACUCGCCUUUACAAUCUUUUGUUUGGUUGUUUUGAGCUUAUUUGGAGACACAGCAUGUGCUACUAACCAAUGCAUCAGCAAUUGCAUAGAUAGUUCCAGUAGCUGUAUCAGGGGUUGUGGUGGAAAAUUUAUUUUCCAGAUGUUGUCAUGCCAUUCAAGUUGCAAAAAUCAAUGUGAACUAUGUACCGUCAAGUGCCCUAACACUGGCAGUUCAGGAAAAACUUGUAAAUUUUAAGUCAUAAAUAAA